RNAcentral lists this transfer RNA (87 nucleotides) under Acinetobacter sp. RNAcentral's name for it is "tRNA-Leu". It matches the Rfam family "tRNA". From Rfam's summary of the family: Transfer RNA (tRNA) molecules are approximately 80 nucleotides in length. Their secondary structure includes four short double-helical elements and three loops (D, anti-codon, and T loops). Further hydrogen bonds mediate the characteristic L-shaped molecular structure. tRNAs have two regions of fundamental functional importance: the anti-codon, which is responsible for specific mRNA codon recognition, and the 3' end, to which the tRNAs corresponding amino acid is attached (by aminoacyl-tRNA synthetases). tRNAs cope with the degeneracy of the genetic code in two manners: having more than one tRNA (with a specific anti-codon) for a particular amino acid; and 'wobble' base-pairing, i.e. permitting non-standard base-pairing at the 3rd anti-codon position. RNAcentral also lists the same sequence under 2 other names. Lineage: Bacteria; Pseudomonadati; Pseudomonadota; Gammaproteobacteria; Moraxellales; Moraxellaceae. The record is from RNAcentral.
GCCCGGGUGGUGAAAUAGGUAGACACAGGGGAUUUAAAAUCCCCCGCCCCCAAAGGCGUGCCAGUUCGAGUCUGGCUCCGGGCACCA